Molecule: ribosomal RNA, 381 nt
Filed under: uncultured bacterium
Lineage: Bacteria
Description: bacterial SSU rRNA
Rfam family: Archaeal small subunit ribosomal RNA
Source: RNAcentral
UAACACCGGCAGCUCAAGUGGUAGCCAUUUUUAUUGGGCCUAAAGCGUUCGUAGCCGGUUUGAUAAGUCUCUGGUGAAAUCCUAUGGCUUAACUGUGGGAAUUGCUGGAGAUACUAUUAGACUUGAGGUCGGGAGAGGUUAGCGGUACUCCCAGGGUAGGGGUGAAAUCCUGUAAUCCUGGGAGGACCACCUGUGGCGAAGGCGGCUAACUGGAACGAACCUGACGGUGAGGGACGAAAGCCAGGGGCGCGAACCGGAUUAGAUACCCGGGUAGUCCUGGCCGUAAACGAUGUGGACUUGGUGUUGGGAUGGCUUCGAGCUGCCCCAGUGCCGAAGGGAAGCUGUUAAGUCCACCGCCUGGGAAGUACGGUCGCAAGACUG